AGAGUUUGAUCCUGGCUCAGGAUGAACGCUAGCGGCAGGCUUAAUACAUGCAAGUCGAACGGUAAGGUCCAGCUUGCUGGACACACGAGUGGCGGACGGGUGCGUAACGCGUAUGCAACCUACCUUUUACUGGAGGAUAGCCCCGAGAAAUCGGGAUUAAUACUCCAUAACAUUAUCGAAAGGCAUCUUUUGAUGAUCAAAGCUCCGGCGGUAAAAGAUGGGCAUGCGUGACAUUAGCUUGUUGGUGAGGUAACGGCUCACCAAGGCAACGAUGUCUAGGGGUCCUGAGAGGGUGAUCCCCCACACUGGUACUGAGACACGGACCAGACUCCUACGGGAGGCAGCAGUAAGGAAUAUUGGUCAAUGGACGAAAGUCUGAACCAGCCAUGCCGCGUGCAGGAUGACGGCCCUAUGGGUUGUAAACUGCUUUUAUAUGGGAAGAACCCCUCGUACGUGUACGAGGCUGACGGUACCAUAAGAAUAAGCAUCGGCUAACUCCGUGCCAGCAGCCGCGGGAAAUACGGAGGAUGCAAGCGUUAUCCGGAUUUAUUGGGUUUAAAGGGUGCGCAGGCGGGACAAUAAGUCAGUGGUGAAAUCCCCCGGCUCAACCGGGGAACUGCCAUUGAUACUGUUGUUCUAGAGUAUAGUUGGGGUAGGCGGAAUGUGUUGUGUAGCGGUGAAAUGCUUAGAUAUGACACAGAACACCGAUCGCGAAGGCAGCUUACCAAGCUAUAACUGACGCUGAGGCACGAAAGCGUGGGGAGCAAACAGGAUUAGAUACCCUGGUAGUCCACGCUGUAAACUAUGAUUACUCGUUGUUGGCGAUACACUGUCAGCGACUGAGCGAAAGCAUUAGGUAAUCCACCUGGGGAGUACGAUCGCAAGGUUGAAACUCAAAGGAAUUGACGGGGGCCCGCACAAGCGGUGGAGCAUGUGGUUUAAUUCGAUGAUACGCGAGGAACCUUACCUGGGCUUAAAUGAAGCAUGACCGUUCGGGAAACCGAACUUCUCUUCGGAGCAAGCUUCAAGGUGCUGCAUGGUUGUCGUCAGCUCGUGCCGUGAGGUGUCGGGUUAAGUCCCAUAACGAGCGCAACCCCUAUUCUUAGUUGCCAGCAUGUAAUGAUGGGGACUCUAGGAAAACUGCCUACGCAAGUAGUGAGGAAGGUGGGGAUGACGUCAAAUCAGUACGGCCCUUAUGUCCAGGGCUACACACGUGCUACAAUGGUCGGUACAGAGGGCAGCUACUUGGCAACAAGAUGCUAAUCUCGAAAGCCGGUCUCAGUUCGGAUUGGAGUCUGCAACUCGACUUCAUGAAGCUGGAAUCGCUAGUAAUCGCGCAUCAGCCACGGCGCGGUGAAUACGUUCCCGGGCCUUGUACACACCGCCCGUCAAGCCAUGGAAGCUGGGGGUACCUGAAGUUCGUGACCGCAAGGAGCGACCUAGGGUAAAACUAGUGACUGGGGCUAAGUCGUAACAAGGUA
Molecule: ribosomal RNA, 1481 nt
Filed under: metagenome
Description: bacterial SSU rRNA
Rfam family: Bacterial small subunit ribosomal RNA
Source: RNAcentral